GAUGAACGCUGGCGGCGUGCCUAAUACAUGCAAGUCGAGCGAACAGAUGAGGAGCUUGCUCCUCUGACGUUAGCGGCGGACGGGUGAGUAACACGUGGAUAACCUACCUAUAAGACUGGGAUAAAUUCGGGAAACCGGAGCUAAUACCGGAUAAUAUAUUGAACCGCAUGGUUCAAUAGUGAAAGACGGUUUUGCUGUCACUUAUAGAUGGAUCCGCGCCGCAUUAGCUAGUUGGUAAGAUAACGGCUUACAAAGGAAACGAUGCGUAGCCGACCUGAGAGGUGGAUCGGCCACACGGGACCUGAGACACGGUCCAGACACCAACGGGAGGCAGCAGUAGGGAAACUUCCAGAAUGAGCGAAAGCCUGACGGAGCAACGCCGCGUGAGUGAUGAAGUUCUUCGGUUCGUAAAACUAUGUUAUUAGGGAAGAACAAAUAUGUAAGUAACUAUGCACGUCUUAACGGUACCUAAUCAGAAAGCAACGGCUAACUACGUG
Molecule: ribosomal RNA, 497 nt
Filed under: uncultured bacterium
Lineage: Bacteria
Description: partial 16S ribosomal RNA
Rfam family: Bacterial small subunit ribosomal RNA
Source: RNAcentral